GAUGAACGCUAGCGGCAGGCCUAAUACAUGCAAGUCGAACGGGAUUGCAGUGUAGCUUGCUAUACUGCAUGAGAGUGGCGUACGGGUGCGUAACGCGUGAGCAACCUGCCCAUAUCUGGGGGAUAGCCCGGCGAAAGUCGGAUUAACACCGCAUAACAAUGGAUUACCGCAUGGUUUUCCAUUUAAAUAUUUAUAGGAUAUGGAUGGGCUCGCGUGACAUUAGCUAGUUAGUAAGGUAACGGCUUACCAAGGCGACGAUGUCUAGGGGCUCUGAGAGGAGAAUCCCCCACACUGGUACUGAGACACGGACCAG
This 313-nucleotide ribosomal RNA is filed under the name uncultured bacterium. RNAcentral's name for it is "bacterial SSU rRNA". It matches the Rfam family "Bacterial small subunit ribosomal RNA", at positions 28 to 334 of the family's 1533-position model. The record is from RNAcentral.